RNAcentral lists this ribosomal RNA (253 nucleotides) under uncultured bacterium. Its description in RNAcentral is "partial 16S ribosomal RNA". It matches the Rfam family "Bacterial small subunit ribosomal RNA", at positions 524 to 776 of the family's 1533-position model. The record is from RNAcentral.
UACGUAGGGGGCAAGCGUUGUCCGGAAUCAUUGGGCGUAAAGCGCGUGUAGGCGGCUCGAUAAGUCUGCUGUGAAAGUCCAAGGCUCAACCUUGGGAUGCCGGUGGAUACUGUCGAGCUCGAGUCCGGAAGAGGAGUGUGGAAUUCCUGGUGUAGCGGUGAAAUGCGCAGAUAUCAGGAAGAACACCCGUGGCGAAAGCGGCUCUCUGGGACGGUACUGACGCUGAGACGCGAAAGCGUGGGGAGCGAACAGG